AUUGAACGCUGGCGGCAUGCCUUACACAUGCAAGUCGAACGGUAACAGGUCUUCGGAUGCUGACGAGUGGCGAACGGGUGAGUAAUACAUCGGAACGUGCCUAGUCGUGGGGGAUAACUACUCGAAAGAGUGGCUAAUACCGCAUGAGAUCUACGGAUGAAAGCAGGGGAUCGCAAGACCUUGUGCUACUAGAGCGGCCGAUGGCAGAUUAGGUAGUUGGUGGGAUAAAAGCUCACCAAGCCGACGAUCUGUAGCUGGUCUGAGAGGACGAUCAGCCACACUGGGACUGAGACACGGCCCAGACUCCUACGGGAGGCAGCAGUGGGGAAUUUUGGACAAUGGGCGAAAGCCUGAUCCAGCAAUGCCGCGUGCAGGAUGAAGGCCUUCGGGUUGUAAACUGCUUUUGUACGGAACGAAAAGCCCCGGGUUAAUACCCUGGGGUCAUGACGGUACCGUAAGAAUAAGCACUGGCUAACUACGUGCCAGCCGCCGCCGUAA
This 498-nucleotide ribosomal RNA is filed under the name uncultured bacterium. RNAcentral's name for it is "partial 16S ribosomal RNA". It matches the Rfam family "Bacterial small subunit ribosomal RNA", at positions 30 to 523 of the family's 1533-position model. The record is from RNAcentral.